AUCUUUUUGAUUUAAUAAAAAGUGUAACCUGCUCAAUGAAUUUAUUAAAUAGCUGCGAUUAUUUAUCGUACUAAGGUAGCAUAAUAAUUUGUCUUUUAAUUAAGGUCUGGAAUGAAUGGUUAAACGGGGAUUUACUUUUUUAUUCAAACUAGUUUGAAUUUUAUCUUUUAGUUAAAAGUCUAAAAUGAAUUUAUAAGACGAUAAGACCCUAUAGAAUUUUAUUUAAUAAAAAUAUUUAGUUUAAUAAGAAUAAUAUUUUUAUUAAAUUUGGUUGGGGUGAUUAUUAUAUUUUCAUAACUAUAAUUGAAUAUUUAUCAUUAAUUUAUGAUUUUGUGAUCCUAUAAUAUGGAUUAAAAGAAUAAAUUACCUUAGGGAUAACAGCGUAAUUUUCUUGGGGAGUUCUUAUUUAUAAGAAAGUUUGCGA
Molecule: ribosomal RNA, 424 nt
Filed under: Kalama tricornis
Lineage: Eukaryota; Metazoa; Arthropoda; Insecta; Hemiptera; Tingidae
Description: partial 16S ribosomal RNA
Source: RNAcentral